CACAAAACUAGACACUACAGA
Molecule: non-coding RNA, 21 nt
Filed under: Mus musculus (house mouse)
Lineage: Eukaryota; Metazoa; Chordata; Mammalia; Rodentia; Muridae
Source: RNAcentral